This 484-nucleotide ribosomal RNA is filed under the name uncultured bacterium. Its description in RNAcentral is "partial 16S ribosomal RNA". It matches the Rfam family "Bacterial small subunit ribosomal RNA", at positions 30 to 507 of the family's 1533-position model. The record is from RNAcentral.
AUUGAACGCUGGCGGCAGGCCUAACACAUGCAAGUCGAGCGGAUGAAGGGAGCUUGCUCCUGGAUUCAGCGGCGGACGGGUGAGUAAUGCCUAGGAAUCUGCCUGGUAUUGGGGGAUAACGUCCGGAAACGGGCGCUAAUACCGCAUACGUCCUGAUGGUGAACGUGGGGGAUCUUCAGACCUCACGCUAUCAGAUGAGCCUAGGUCGGAUUAGCUAGUUGGUGGGGUAAAGGCCUACCAAGGCGACGAUCCGUAACUGGUCUGAGAGGCUGAUCAGUCACACUGGAACUGAGACACGGUCCAGACUCCUACGGGAGGCAGCAGUGGGGAAUAUUGGACAAUGGGCGAAAGCCUGAUGCAGCAAUGCCGCGUGUGUGAAGAAGGUCUUCGGAUUGUAAAGCACUUUAAGUUGGGAGGAAGGGCAGUAAGUGAAUACCUGGCUGUUUUGACGUUACCAAAAGAAUAAGCAACGGCUAACUUCGUG